CCUACGGGCGACAGCAGUGAGGAAUAUUGGUCAAUGGACGAGAGUCUGAACCAGCCAAGUAGCGUGAAGGAUGACUGCCCUCUGGGUUGUAAACUUCUUUUAUAUGGGAAUAAAAUGUUCCACGUGUGGGAUUUUGUAUGUACCAUAUGAAUAAGGAUCGGCUAACUCCGUGCCAGCAGCCGCGGUAAUACGGAGGAUCCGAGCGUUAUCCGGAUUUAUUGGGUUUAACGGGAGCGUAGGUGGAUUGUUAAGUCAGUUGUGAAAGUUUGCGGCUCAACCGUAAAAUUGCAGUUGAAACUGGCAGUCUGGAGUACAGUAGAGGUGGGCGGAAUUCGUGGUGUAGCGGUGAAAUGCUUAGAUAUCACGAAGAACUCCGAUUGCGAAGGCAGCUCACUGGACUGCAACUGACACUGAGGCUCGAAAGUGUGGGUAUCAAACAGGAUUAGAUACCCCGGUAGUC
RNAcentral lists this ribosomal RNA (460 nucleotides) under uncultured bacterium. Its description in RNAcentral is "partial 16S ribosomal RNA". It matches the Rfam family "Bacterial small subunit ribosomal RNA", at positions 338 to 795 of the family's 1533-position model. The record is from RNAcentral.